Molecule: ribosomal RNA, 432 nt
Filed under: uncultured bacterium
Lineage: Bacteria
Description: bacterial SSU rRNA
Rfam family: Bacterial small subunit ribosomal RNA
Source: RNAcentral
AGCGAACGCUGGCGGCAGGCCUAACACAUGCAAGUCGAGCGCCCCGCAAGGGGAGCGGCAGACGGGAGAGUAACACGUGGGAACGUACCCUUCAGUUCGGAACAACCCAGGGAAACUUGGGCUAAUACCGAAUACGUCCGUAAGGAGAAAGAUUUAUCGCUGAAGGAUCGGCCCGCGUCUGAUUAGCUAGUUGGUGAGGUAACGGCUCACCAAGGCGACGAUCAGUAGCUGGUCUGAGAGGAUGAUCAGCCUCACUGGGACUGAGACACGGCCCAGACUCCUACGGGAGGCAGCAGUGGGGAAUAUUGGACAAUGGGCGCAAGCCUGAUCCAGCCAUGCCGCGUGGGUGAUGAAGGCCCUAGGGUUGUAAAGCCCUUUCGGCGGGGAAGAUAAUGACGGUACCCGCAGAAGAAGCCCCGGCUAACUUCGUGC